This 1082-nucleotide ribosomal RNA is filed under the name uncultured Rhizaria. RNAcentral's name for it is "SSU rRNA". It matches the Rfam family "Eukaryotic small subunit ribosomal RNA", at positions 577 to 1674 of the family's 1831-position model. The record is from RNAcentral.
CGGUAAUUCCAGCUCCAAUAGCGUAUACUAAAGUUGUUGCAGUUAAAAAGCUCGUAGUUGGAUUUCUGCGGGGACGGAGCGGCCGGACGCAACUUGCGUCUCGAGCUAGCGCUUUCCCCGCAUCCUGCCGCGAACCGUGCUACCAUUAGCUUGGUGGCGCUGGGGAUCGGCUCGAUUACUUUGAGAAAAAUAGAGUGUUCAAAGCAGGCCACACGCCUUGAAUAAGUUAGCAUGGAAUAAUGAUUAAGGACUUCGGUUCUAUUUUGUUGGUGUUCGGGACUGAAGUAAUGAUUGAUAGGGACAGUUGGGGCGGUCUGUAUUCCAAAGCGAGAGGUGAAAUUCUUAGACCUUCGGAAGACAAACAGCUGCGAAAGCGUUCCGCAAGGAUGUUCCCUUUGAUCAAGAACGAAAGUUGGGGGAUCGAAGACGAUCAGAUACCGUCGUAGUCUCAACUAUAAACUAUACCAGCUAGGGAUCGGCCAACGUUUAACUUUAUCGACUUGGUCGGCACCUUAUGAGAAAUCAAAGCAUCUGGGUUCCGGGGGGAGUAUGGUCGCAAGGCUGAAACUUAAAGGAAUUGACGGAAGGGCACCACCAGGCGUGGAGCCUGUGGCUUAAUUUGACUCAACACGGGAAAACUUACCAGGUCCAGGCAUAGGAAGGAUUGACAGAUUGAUAGCUCUUUCUUGAUUCUGUGGGUGGUGGUGCAUGGCCGUUUUUAGUCGGUGAAGUGAUUUGUCUGCUUAAUUGCGUUAACGGACGAGACCCCAGCCUGCUAAAUAGCGCGGCCGAGCUUUGCUCGGUGCGAGCUUCUUAGAGGGACCAUGAUGCGCGAUAGCACAAGGAAGUUUGGGGCAACAACAGGUCUGUGAUGCCCUUAGAUGUUCUGGGCCGCACACGGGCUACACUGGCGCCUGCAACGAGCAUAUCAGCUGGCCCGAGAGGGUCUUGGCUAAUCUUUGGAACCGGCGCCGUGCUUGGGAUUGACCAUUGCAAUUGUUGGUCAUGCAACGAGGAAUGCCUUGUAAACGCGAGUCAUCAGCUCGCAUUGAAUACGUCCCUGCCCCUUGUACACACCGCCC